RNAcentral lists this long non-coding RNA (217 nucleotides) under Elaeis guineensis (African oil palm). Its description in RNAcentral is "long non-coding RNA (EGUI_LNC053319)". The record is from RNAcentral. Lineage: Eukaryota; Viridiplantae; Streptophyta; Magnoliopsida; Arecales; Arecaceae.
GCUGGGGGGUAUUUUAUACCCAACACAAAUUGAUUUUAUGUGGUGAGAAAAUGUGUGAGAUAAUUUAGGUGGCGCAAGGGAUAGAGUCCUACUUAUUUGGGACUCUUGGGUUUAACCAAUUAGUUUUUUUUCAAUUCCAAUCCAAUUAGACCCAAAUAAAAAAUGAUGAACCUAAUCUAAUUAGGCUCUUAUAAUAUCAAUUAAAUUUGAUCAAAUC